Molecule: long non-coding RNA, 3336 nt
Organism: Hippocampus zosterae (dwarf seahorse)
Lineage: Eukaryota; Metazoa; Chordata; Actinopteri; Syngnathiformes; Syngnathidae
Exons: 2
Source: RefSeq, a predicted model, not a curated record
AGACAAUUGAAUUAAGGUCCAUGGAUUUUUAUAUUUUGUUCGUACGUUUUAUAUAACAUUUUAUUUUGACGACAACAAUAUUAACCGGAAACUCAAUAGCUUUUAGGCAAACAUGCUAAUGGGGCAAGGAACGCUAUCACGACACCGGUAGGAAGGAGGAAGGGGCAGGACUCUGUCCACACUUGCACCAACAAAAACCUUUGGCAGUUUGACGACACGAUCUCCCCUAAGAAGUUGGCUGAGGACAAGACGAGAUGUAAAAAUCGUUUUGAAGUAAUCCGGAGAAUUCACACUCGGUUCAUCUUUUUACGACUGCGUUGUGAAGGACAAGUGACCAACAGCUUUGACAAAAGUAUGAAAUUCGCAUUUCAUCCUUCAAACCGUUUUUACAUUAAUAUCCCUUUCAAAUAAUCUAAGGGAUUUAAAUUGCCAUACCAUCCAAAGCCGCCCUUCUGCCCCAAAUGUUAUCGGAGGUCAAGUAAUCAUGGCCUCUUCUGCAUGAGACUACGGGAGCAUCAGGCCAGGCCAGUGGAAUCAUAGACUAACUGGUCCUCACAGUAGUGUUGGUUUCAAAUACAUGAUGGAUAUUGUUACGCUUGUUGGAUGGAGAUAUUCUUGCAAGCUUCACCAGGUUGUUUGGCAGUCAGGCUACUGUAAACAUCCUUGACUGGAAGCUGGUGUCGGGUCUUGGAGCUUUCAGUCGGAUGUUUGCAGCAGCCACCUGCUAGUACCAUCUUACGGACACUGGACACUUCCAUAAAACACUUGGUGCUGGGGAUAAACAGACAUUUAAAAUGCUCUUCUAUUGGUGUUGUCCUUCAUGCGAUCAAAUAGGUAGAAAGCUUGCCGCAUGUUGAACAAUUUGGAAGACCAAUUUCCGUCAAGCUGGGCUUUCUGGCGCAGCAUAGGAAGUGUUGUAGGAGAUGUGCCUGGCGCAGUGACAAUUUAGUGGCAGAAAAUUCAUCAAAACUGAGGACUGCUCGGACCACAUCCAAGAUAGACAGCUGGUCUCCAUUGACAUACAUAAAUACGUGAACAGUGGGCAUCAAACCCUCUAAAUCAUUGUAGAAAUAUAUUAAUUAAAUGUUUAUAAAAAUAAUAAUAAUUAUUAUUAUUAUUCAUCCAUCCGUUUUCUAAUUUGCUUAUCCUCACGAAGGUCGCGGGCGUGCUGGAGCCUAUCCCAGCUAUCUUCAGGCAGUAGGCGGGGUAUACCCUGAACUGGUUGCCAGCCAAUCUCACGGCACACAUAGUCGAACAGCCAUCCGUGCUCACACUAACCCCGCGGGACAAAUUAGAGUGUUCAAUCGGCCUGCCAAGCAUGUUUUUGGAAUGUGGAAGGAAACCAAAGUACCCGGAGAAAAGCCACGCAGGCACGGGAAGAACAUGCAAACUCCAUAUCGGAAGGCCGGAGCCGGAAUUGAACUCUGCACCUCUGCACUGUGAGGCCGAUGUGCUACCCAGUCGUCCACCGUGCGACCCAAUUAUUAUUAUUAUUAUUAUUAUUAUUAGUCAUAGUAUUAGUAGUAGUAUAUGUUUUCAAUCACACUCCUGGGUGAUACAGCGAUGAUGAUCACUUCAAUGAUAGCUCCAAUUGCCCCCGCCGUGACGAGACAAUACUUAAAGGGAAUGAGAGGAGCUGCUUUGAUUGGCCAUGAUUUAAGUCAGUUGUGACCACUCCCACAACGGUUCAACCCUUCUCUCUCAGAUACGCCAAUAUCUGCCCAUGUACAGUACGUUACGUACCCCACACAUUUAUUGUAUUCAUAAAAAUAGAGCCCUUGUCUGUUUUUUUUCUUUUUUUAACCCAACCCCAAAAUCUGCACAAAAAUCAGUAGACUGUAGUAAUUUUUUAAGGUUUUUCCAGACUAUUCUUGGCUCAAAUGACAUGAGCCAAGAAUCCCUCCAGGUCAAAGCAGGACUGAUUUUUCUGGUUUAUAUGGCCCAAAAAGUUACUGUGUACUUAUAAUUUCUCUUCCAACAGACAAGAAAUAGUUGUCAUCCAUUUUGAAAUUCAGCAAAUGAAUUGUUCGUCAAUUGCUCAUGCAUUUUUCUUAUGUCAGAAGUUUCAGUUGUAGCUUGGCAGAACUUUUUUUCUUGGAGGUGGGGGGGGGGGGUCAUUCAUGGUCAUUUGCCUUUUUUUCUUUCUCUUUCCUUUUCCCUUCGGAUACUCCGACCUUUAUCCUAAACAAAGAGCAAAGAGACUAUUUUUAUUUAUUUGCAAAUAAAAAGGAUAGGUUAACCACGAGGCCAUCUGCCGAAACCUGAAUGGCACUGGUGCUUUAUUUUAGAAAUAUCAAUCCGCCAAAGCAAGCAAAAUGAAUAUCAAAAGUAAAAUCUUACACAGACUGUUGAGCGGAAACGUGUGAUUGCAUGCAGUAGAUACUUAUCUGUUCCCAGUGGAUGGGAGUGGCCUCCAUCCUCUUGAGAGAAAAGAACACAGAUUAAACAAAAAUGGUGGUAAAAGUUUGAAUAUCGAUUGAUGUCUGUGCCCAUUCGUCGCGCUGUGCAACACACAACAGGACCUCAGAUGUGGAAGGAAGGACGGAAGGAAGUAGCCGUGCCGUUAAUGCAAACAAUUUUCCCGCCACAUCCAUCACGUCUUGCUGUGGUUCCUGCAGGUUUCAUUUAAACACUUCUCUGCUCUCUUCAGUGUUUAUGGAAAAACUCGGGGAAACAACUUACUCAGAAAAUAUUGUCCAGUAUCAGAUAAUGGGUCUAUUUGCACAUGAACGAAGAGCAAGUAAAUCAGGCAUGUUUUCUUGGAUGUUUGUUCCUUUUUUAGAGGGGGGUGGGGGGGGGGGUGAAUGUGUCUCACUUCAAUACAGUGACUGCUGAGUUGCAGGAAGUGUAAACAUCCUACACUCUCGGCAUCCACCCCCUGGUGGCCGGGAGUGGGCCUGUUUGCACUGCAUGGCUCAGGAAUUCAGCUCCCGUUUGGGACUAGAGAGAGCGUAUAGGUGAUUAUUUAUUCCUAUGCUUGGGGCAAAUGACACAAUAGGCGCAUCCUGUUUAUACCGUGCACCUAAUGUUAUACUUUCUCAUGUUAACAUGAUUUAGAAGGAUGGGGGGAAAGCCCAUAUAAUCAAAACGGGUUGACAAAUUGUUUUGCAGGGAUCGCAUAUUAUGACAUUCUACAAAUGAAAUAAAAAGAAAAGACUAAAUUGUUUGAUUCGUGUUCUAAUGAAGUCCCACAUCCGUUAAAUGUAUCACUGCCGUCUUUGGUGAGGCAUUGCAAAUAUGAAAAUUAAUGCUGUUUAUGAAUUAUAAUGUGUAAAACGUACAGAGAUGCUGCUGAUCUGAAUAUUUUGGCUUUCAAAUAAAAUGGAUUGGAACAUU